Molecule: non-coding RNA, 370 nt
Organism: Pelobates cultripes (western spadefoot toad)
Lineage: Eukaryota; Metazoa; Chordata; Amphibia; Anura; Pelobatidae
Source: the annotation of a GenBank genome assembly
GAUGCACUGUGGAUAGUAUUUAAUGUCCAAGAAUAUAUUUUACCAUUUAUUUCUUUGUCUUUACAGCCUCUUAAUUGGUUUUCACAUUGAUCCCUCACACUCUCGAACGGAUGUGUGCAAGUUUUAUUCUAAGUUCCAUUGUUGGAUUAUUCCAGAGUUGCUGUUCUUCCCAUCUAGUUGGUCGUCUACUUCGGUCUUGUUGGAAUGUUCGUCGGCACCAGUACAAAAGAGGAGUGGCUUAAGGUCACAUGGGACAUUAUAGUGCAAGAAGCAUUCCUAUUGGUUAAUCUGUUGUAUUAUGGUUAACCCUCUAGAGUACAUGUUAUAUUUUUUAUUUAAAUAUUUAGAAUAUCCUUUCAUUGCUGCUGAG